UACGAAGGGAGCUAGCGUUACUCGGAAUCACUGGGCGUAAAGCGCAUGUAGGCGGAAAUACAAGUCAGAGGUGAAAGCCCUGGGCUCAACCCAGGAAUUGCCUUUGAAACUGUAUUUCUUGAGUAUGACAGAGGAUGGUGGAAUUUCCAGUGUAGAGGUGAAAUUCGUAGAUAUUGGAAAGAACACCGGUGGCGAAGGCGACCAUCUGGGUCAUAACUGACGCUGAGAUGCGAAAGCGUGGGGAGCGAACGGG
RNAcentral lists this ribosomal RNA (253 nucleotides) under uncultured bacterium. Its description in RNAcentral is "partial 16S ribosomal RNA". It matches the Rfam family "Bacterial small subunit ribosomal RNA", at positions 524 to 776 of the family's 1533-position model. The record is from RNAcentral.